GUUCGGUGUUUUCCACAGUACUUUUUCUCUGUGUUUCUUUUAUCUGAUACUCACGUGACUCAUUAGUCCCCGCUAGGCUGGGCUAAUGAGAUCCUCCUGACACUGAGAGAAACUGAGACACUGAGGAGCUGAUGGACUCCCACUCAGCAAAUCUAAGCUGGGAUUAGGACCUUGCGAUGCAGAUAUGGCUCUGAUUCUUACUUUCUGCUAUGGGACUGUUGGCUUGCUCCAAAGCUUCAGGAUUUUAGAAGCAUACUGGCCACAGUUAGAACAGCAGAACAGUUUCUACUAAACCCGGGGCUGGAGAAAGACAGAGGGAAUAGCCUGGACCUGCUUCUCGAAGGAGCUGAGCCCCAGCCUCCAUGUGACUUCAGAAGCACCAAUAACAUCUGCUUGUACACAGCUCAGCUCAUAAAGCACAUCCUUCCUCUCUCUCUACCUCAUCCUGCUGCAGUGUGGCAUGCAUACCAACCCAGUGGCAUGCCUUCCACAGUCCCUUGUCAAAUUUGGUGGAUACUUGGAGCUCUGUUUUGGGGGGGAGGGGGGACUGGAGAUUGAACCCAGAGCCUCUCUCAUGCUUGGCAAACAAUUUACCAGUGAGCUCCAAAGCUUGCCCCCUUUUUAUGUUUUUAAAAUUUUGAUACAGAGUCUCAUGAAUUGCCAGGCUGGUCUUGAACUCUCAAUCCUCCUGCUUCGGCCUCAAGAGUCACUGAGAUUACAGGCAUGCACCUUGAGUCAGACUUGGGCUUGGUCCUGACUGGCUGGUUCUCUUGGCGUCUGGCCCUGUAGACCUGCCUCCUUCAGAUUCUCCCCUUGCUGCCAUGAUUUGCUGCCCCUCACCUCACUGAGUUUUCCCCCUUCUUAGUCCCCUCAGGGGCUCCUCCAUCCCAGGACUCCUUCACCGCCUCAUCAUGGCUGUGGUCCUGCCUUCCUUUAUCCCUCUUGCUCCAUCCUUGCCAUCCCUCAGCCUCACUGCCUGUCUCCCUAGCUGCAAGUCCACAGCUCCAUGGGGUGUCUCCAUGCCCCUCAUACUCAGUCUGCCCAGGGAAAGAAAGAAUUGUCCCCAAACCAGGCCUGCACCUGCCUCUUCCUUGCUUAGAACUCUUCAUUUACACACUGUGGGAAGCAAUUUGGCAUCACAUAUUAAAGCUGAAUGUGUGCCCACACUCUGACCAGCAAAGACCCAACAGAGAUGCGUGUCCAGAUGCACCCAAAAUAUGGACUAGAAUGUUCACAGCCCUGUGCAUUGCCUCUCAGCACAACCCCAGGGGCCAUGCACAGCAGAAUGGACUCACAGGCCAUGGUAGAGUCACACGUGGGGCAAGGCCACUACUGCUCUCACAGUAUCAUGGAGGAAUCUCGUGGACAUACAACAAAACAAUAAAAAAGAUAUGGCAGGGUUCACAAGUUUAUCUUGACAUAUAUAAAGUUCAGUGGACAGGCAUAACACGGGUAUGGUGCAAGAAGAUAGAAUAGUGUUCAACCCUGGGGAAUGUAGUUAUGUGGCAGGGACCUGUGGGAGGCUUCUGGGCCCAGACGUGUCCGUAUUUUUUAUCUGGAUGUUGGUUACAUGGGUGUAUUUCCCAUGUAAAUUCAUGAUGUAUAAUUAUAGAAAUUUUUCCUUAUGUGUCUCAUAUGUCAAUAAAAAGUUAAAAUAAACAAAUGAUCGGAAAUUGUCCAUGGGUUCUUCAUUACACUGAGGAGAAAACCCACAAACUCCUUACUAGACUCAUGCGCACAAGACCCUUCAUGCCCUGGCUCCUUCCUCACCAUUCCCACACAUGUUCUUUCUGGCCCUCACAGGGUAUUUGUCAUUCCCCACAAGGUGUUUGUCAUUUCCCCACAAGCCAGAUGCUGUCUCCAGCUCCUAGGCUUUUGCAUGGCUGCUCCAUCUGUCUGGACUGCCCUUGCCUGUCUAUUCUCUCUGGCCACCCCCAAGGAUCCUUCUGGAC
Long non-coding RNA from Heterocephalus glaber (naked mole-rat), 1952 nucleotides. Lineage: Eukaryota; Metazoa; Chordata; Mammalia; Rodentia; Bathyergidae. The record is from Ensembl.